CACCGCCCAUCACACUAUAUGAGCUGGCCAUGUUUGAAGUCAUUACCCUUAACCGUAAGGAGGGGGAUGCCUAAGGCUAGGCUUGCGACUGGAGUGAAGUCGUAACAAGGUAGCCGUACUGGAAGGUGCGGCUG
This 134-nucleotide non-coding RNA is filed under the name Triticum aestivum (bread wheat). Its description in RNAcentral is "rRNA SSU_rRNA_eukarya". It matches the Rfam family "Bacterial small subunit ribosomal RNA", at positions 1388 to 1520 of the family's 1533-position model. RNAcentral also lists the same sequence under 1 other name. The record is from Rfam by way of RNAcentral. Lineage: Eukaryota; Viridiplantae; Streptophyta; Magnoliopsida; Poales; Poaceae.